AGUAUUGGGUUAGCCAAAAAUCUUGUUCGGGUUUGUCCAUAGGAUGGUGCAGAAAACUAUGAACGAACUUUUUGGCCAACCCAAUACGUU
RNAcentral lists this microRNA precursor (90 nucleotides) under Ovis aries (sheep). Its description in RNAcentral is "miRNA (ENSOARG00000024729.1)". Lineage: Eukaryota; Metazoa; Chordata; Mammalia; Artiodactyla; Bovidae. The record is from RNAcentral.